AUGGAGCUCGCCACCAAUCACACCGCAGCCGCAGUGUUGUCCCCUGUAUUCAGCGGCGCUAUCUCGCAGCCCCGCCACACCCCGUCCUUACUCCCGCUAAAGCGCCGCACAAUCUGCGUGAUAAAUAUUGCAGAGUCGUGGAAGAACCCAGCCACUGCUCCAAACCAUGAGCACCUUCCUGGAAAUUGUCUUUGCCGGAUAGGCGCGGCAACUAGAGGAGCGUCUAGCAGACGCUACUGUGGGCCAGGACUUGUUGGAGGGAGGCGGGGAGAUGAUAACGUCCGCGAAAACUUGUGCGUCCUCCUUCAGAUGUCUGCGGUCUUCACCUACCGUGGCCAAAUGUCCGUUAUCAACUGGGGUUUGAUGCCCGCUGGAUCCUUUCUGUGA
This 387-nucleotide ribosomal RNA is filed under the name Triticum aestivum (bread wheat). RNAcentral describes it as "partial small subunit ribosomal RNA". The record is from RNAcentral. Lineage: Eukaryota; Viridiplantae; Streptophyta; Magnoliopsida; Poales; Poaceae.